GGGGGCCCCCCAUAUUCUAAAGUAUAAAUAAUUCCGGGCGGGAUAUAUACACUUCCACACAUAGAAAUCUAUAUAUUUACACUCGCAUAUGUACAGAAUUUGGGAACAGCUGCUACACACACACACAUCAAA
This is a long non-coding RNA of Nanorana parkeri, 132 nucleotides long. RefSeq lists it as uncharacterized. The record is from RefSeq and is a predicted model, not a curated record. The transcript is spliced from 3 exons. Lineage: Eukaryota; Metazoa; Chordata; Amphibia; Anura; Dicroglossidae.